Molecule: long non-coding RNA, 3905 nt
Organism: Triticum aestivum (bread wheat)
Lineage: Eukaryota; Viridiplantae; Streptophyta; Magnoliopsida; Poales; Poaceae
Exons: 7
Source: RefSeq, a predicted model, not a curated record
UUUUGCAAAAAAGCCCCUCUAUUUUCAAGAAUUCAACCCGCAGUCCCUGUUUAAGUGGAUCGGGGAAAACGAUUCGUUUUUGCACAAAACACCCUGUCGUUUGGAUUAUUCAACCCGCGGUCCGAGCAAAUUUGGGUAAAGAAAAAAACACGACCAAAGGAGGAGAACGGGCUCGCCUCCUCUCCCUCUCGCUCAAGUCCUCGCCGCCGCCGCCACCACCCACGCCGGCAGCUUCCGGCGAGCUCCGACGCCGCGCAGCACGCCCCCCAACUCCCCAGAGUCCGCUCCUCCCUACCCUCCGGCCAGAUUCUCCGCUCCCGGCCUCUACCGCCCGCUCGAAACGCCACCCCCAUGGCUAGGGUUUCGGGCAGGGCUUCGCCGACGCGUCUCCGGCGGCCCAGAUGCAGAUGGAGCACGCCAUGGGAAUUCCCCAUCCACCAUGGUCGCCGCCAUCAAGGGCUUCUUCACAGAGAUGUGGAGGACGCCAUGGACCUGCAGCUCCAAGGUCAACAGGGAGGAACCCUAGCCAUAAGCACCUCCUCGGAUGACGCCUCUGCUACACCAAGAUAGAGAUAUAUAUGAUAUCUACAUGGCUGCUAUGCUACUUUUUUUGUGUGAUGAAUCAUUGUGAGUUUCGAAGAAACUUCCAAUGUUACCUCCGCCAAGUUUGCCGGCAGAAGAAGCACAUCCAUUGAGCCGUUCAAUGUCGCCUGCGGUGGCUACACCAGAGGCAUGCAACAUUGUUGAAGGGCAAAGGUACUCUAAGAAGCUGAAUGAUAAACAGGUCACCAACAUACUUAGAGCUUCCUUGGGUUUGUGGAGGACAUGUCUGGUUUCACAAAGUCAGUUUCACUUUCACGAAGACAGUGGAAAUGCAGAAAAAGGAAAGCAUGUGGAUUUAGAAAUUUCAGCAUUGUAGAGCUCAAUUGAAAUGGAAAACGGGAUUUAUAGCAUCCAGCUAGAGUGGUGAUUCGAUUUUUGAUGAUUGGUACUUUGGUUGUGAGGUCGAUGAAGACAUGAGAUGGAUUUGGUCGGGGCAGUGGGUUUGCUCGCGAGGAGGUGGGAAGGACGAAGAUAGUGGAAGAAGCUUGAGAUGAUGGUGAUAUUACUGACUCAAUCCUUUAUUAGCUCUAUUUUGUGUGGAUCUUUCAGGUGCAUGAAUGAUAACUUGUGCAAAACUACGCUUCCCUUGUCAUUUGAUAAUUUUUAUCUUUAUGGUGCUCAUAACAUAUUUUUCAUCUAUAAUUAUAGGAGUUUGUUACCUUCUUUUGGUCGAAGAAUAAGAUGUGGGUAAUAUAUGCAUUGCCGACUUAGCUUAACAUUUUUUGAACAGAAUUUCUAUAAAUUUUAUACAAGUAUUGUGCUGAAGUCCGUGAAAUAGGUUAAUGGCCGAGAGUGUUUAUAAGUUAUCAAGUCGAGCACAUAAGUCUGGAAGUAGCUAAUUUUCCUACUGAAAAGUAGAUACAGAUUUCUGAAGACAUGAGACAUUAAUACAUAGUAUACAUAGCAGUCUUCUUAAUUCUAUGAUUCUUCAUACCUUGAGGCUGUUAAACAUCUAUGCACCUUUCAUUUGAUGAGGUACAUUCAAAUUGGGUCUGUUUAUAACUUUGAUGAAAGAAAAUUAUCUUCCCUUAGAUGGUCAAGGUUCCAGAGAUCAUUGAUAUGAAAGAAGGCAUAUAUUUGAUUCACGGAAUUGCCAGUAGUAUUGGAGCGAGCGUGAGUAUCAAUUGCUCGGAGAGGAAAUCAUGAACCGCGAUCAGAAUACUGAAAUAUAUCUGAUCUGUGUGUGUAUCCUGGCCACUUGAUUACCGAGUACUGCCGUUUGUCUUCCCAUUUGAUUUCUCAUAUGAAGCUACUAAUUUUGACAAUUCCUUUUAUUUUACAAUGCUAUUGCUUUUGUUUUCCUGUGGAAAAUAAACUAGAGGGAAUUAACGAUUUGUUUUUCUUUAGAUGUUGUCGGUCGGGUGUCUUCUGCUACUGAAGUUUUACCACCAUCUGGUGGUGCUUGAGAGUAGAGACGGCAUACUUUCAUCAGCAGUGGCCAAACCCCCAGCACCGCUGGUGCUGUACACCCCUGUACCCCUCGACAUCCAGUGCCUCGCGUCUGCCCAACAUGAACACCUCCUCAAUAUGUACAUCUCUGAAUUUUGCCAUUGCUAGAGAAAGUAGAGCAUUGUUUUACUGUAGCUAUAAUUUGAGUUUAGAAGAUAUACUCCUCUCUUUUUGACGUCAAUUUUUUCAGUUGACUUCUCCGUCCAGUCUCAUGUCUUUCUCUUUAGCAGGGAUAGGUGAGUACUAAACGAGUAAAAAUGUCCUUCUCUUUUUCAUAUUUCUUCCUUUUCCUUACUACUUUUGUGGCUCCAAAUCUCAUGAUGGCUCUAUGUCUGUUCUUUUUGUUGACAUGGAUUUUACCCUGAAAAUUUUCUUCUGAUCUACAAUGUUCUGCCAUCUAAAUUUGUCUGUAUAUUGUGAAUGAGUAGACACUGGUGUAGAAACCCAAUCGGAUGAAAUUACCGACUACAGAGAGGUGUAAUUAUUAAUUAAUUUCUUGCUUUAAAAGAUAUGCAACUAGCAGAGUUUCUUAUUUUUAUCAAUUGGAUUACGACCGAAGUGAAGAACUUAUGUGGACAGUCUGGCAGAUUUCAGUGGCAAGAUUUUUGUACAAUUACAGUAGCAGAUUUCAGAAAUUUGUAGAGCACAUGAUUUACAAGAACAAGAUAUUCUGUCAAGCCAUGGAUAUCAACAAUCAGUCAAGCAAAGAAAUAUUCAUGGGAGAUAUACAUGGAUCCACAAGAAUGUGCACCGUAUGGCACUACCCUUUUGUCAUCGAGCCACUAUCACAUUUUGGUCAGCAAUCAGUUCAAGCAAUUCUCAGCGCCAUUAGUCAGAAGUUGGAAUUUACAUCUAAGCGAACAAUACAUCAAGCAACAGAAGAAAAAGUGGUCAUCUCUUUUUCUUGGCACCAAGAUGCCAUACAAGCAUUCAGACUUCGGAAUCGCACACGGAGUUUGCUCCGAAACUGCUUCAACUAAGAAAUAUGGGAAUUUCUCUGAGCAAACUUUGUUUGAUGUUUUUGUUAUCGAUUUAAGCUGCACAGGCCAUGGAUGCGGCCUAGAACUGCUGUCGUCCCUGUCCUGCGAUGCGCCGACAGCCAUGGACCAGCCGCGCGAGUAGGAGCACGCCACGGCGGCUGCCAUGGAUGCGGCCGAGAACUGCUACCGCCCCUGAAUUGCAGCCGCGCCGCACCUGCCGUGUGCCCCUAUCCUGGGCAUGAGGCUGAUGCCGCCCAGUGCUGCCGCUGGGGCGUGCUACUACUCGCCUCUCCGGUCCGCUGGUGCCUCCCGCUCGGGCGGCGUACCAGGCCGACGGGGAGGCACUGUGUGCGUUCGAGCUGCUGCUCGAGUCGCCUCGUGAGUCGCGACCACUGUUGGACCCGACGGAGCCGCCGGCUGCGCGCGUCCAGGGGAGGCCAGUGCGGGAGAUGGUCCUCCUCGACUGUCCACCAACACCAAGCGAACACCAAGUCUGGGAAGGCCGCAAGGGGGAGCACUGGAAAGACACGCCACCGCCGCCGCAAGGGUUAGCCUCUGCUUCCAUGUUUCAUGAGGGCGGCGCCAUUGUUUGGACUUGUGGUGCAGCUGCUGCGUCCUGUUCGAGAGAGAAAAGAGAGGGUGAUGAGAGAGAGGGUAGAAGGAGAGGGAGAACCGCAGAGGAGCUGGCUCACCGGCGAGGUCCUGCUGCUGCUUCAGAUCUCCGUGCGGGGGGUCGGGUUCGAGCUCCUGCGAGCACUCUCGCCGCUCGGGCGCCUGGUAUAUGGGAGACUGUUUUGUGCAAGGGAAACUGAAAACGAGAUGAAGAUUCAGGCUUUUACAAAGGAUAAAAAUAGACCACGUGUAAGCACACCA